This 305-nucleotide ribosomal RNA is filed under the name uncultured bacterium. RNAcentral describes it as "bacterial SSU rRNA". It matches the Rfam family "Bacterial small subunit ribosomal RNA", at positions 337 to 657 of the family's 1533-position model. The record is from RNAcentral.
UCCUACGGGGGGCAGCAGUGGGGAAUAUUGGGCAAUGGGCGCAAGCCUUACCCAGCAAUACCGCGUGAGUGAAGAAGGUCUUCGGAUUGUAAAGCUCUUUGAUCAGGGACGAACAGAUGACGGUACCUGAAGAACAAGCCCCGGCUAACUACGUGCCAGCAGCCGCGGUAAAACGUAGGGGGCGAGCGUUGUCCGGAAUGACUGGGCGUAAAGGGCGUGUAGGCGGGACUGCAAGUCAGAUGUGAAACCCAUGGGCUCAACCCAUGGCCUGCAUUUGAAACUGUAGUUCUUGAGUGAUGGAGAGG